AGAAAAGGUGGAUGAGUUGUGUGAGAGUUACUCCCUUGAAGGUUUUGUUAAAGUUACAGAAGAUAGUGCAGGUGUGGCACUUGAUGGAAAAACAGAAACUCAUUACUUAGAACUUCAAAAUUUUGUUUUGGAUGAUAUCAAAUGGGUUGACGAGAUUGAUGAACUGCUAGAAGCUACAAGUUACAUUGAGGAAUGCAAGGUUAUUGGCAUAGAUUCCG
Molecule: unclassified non-coding RNA, 218 nt
Filed under: Hevea brasiliensis (rubber tree)
Lineage: Eukaryota; Viridiplantae; Streptophyta; Magnoliopsida; Malpighiales; Euphorbiaceae
Source: RNAcentral